Molecule: ribosomal RNA, 674 nt
Filed under: Rhodotorula diobovata
Lineage: Eukaryota; Fungi; Basidiomycota; Microbotryomycetes; Sporidiobolales; Sporidiobolaceae
Description: LSU rRNA
Rfam family: Eukaryotic large subunit ribosomal RNA
Source: RNAcentral
UAAGAACUAACAGGAUUCCCCUAGUAGCGGCGAGCGAAGCGGGAAGAGCUCAAAUUUAUAAUCUGGCACCUUCGGUGUCCGAGUUGUAAUCUCUAGAAGUGUUUUCCGCGUUGGACCGCACACAAGUCUGUUGGAAUACAGCGGCAUAGUGGUGAAACCCCCGUAUAUGGUGCGGACGCCCAGCGCUUUGUGAUACACUUUCAAUGAGUCGAGUUGUUUGGGAAUGCAGCUCAAAUUGGGUGGUAAAUUCCAUCUAAAGCUAAAUAUUGGCGAGAGACCGAUAGCGAACAAGUACCGUGAGGGAAAGAUGAAAAGCACUUUGGAAAGAGAGUUAACAGUACGUGAAAUUGUUGGAAGGGAAACGCUUGAAGUCAGACUUGCUUGCCGGAGCUUGCUUCGGUUUGCAGGCCAGCAUCAGUUUUCCGGGGUGGAUAAUGACGGUUUGAAGGUAGCAGUCUCGGCUGUGUUAUAGCUUUCCGUUGGAUACGCCCUGGGGGACUGAGGAACGCAGCGUGCUUUUUGCGAAAGACUCGUCUUUUUCACGCUUAGGAUGCUGGUGGAAUGGCUUUAAACGACCCGUCUUGAAACACGGACCAAGGAGUCUAACAUGCUCGCGAGUAUUUGGGUGUCAAACCCGGAUGCGCAAUGAAAGUGAAUGUAGGUGGGAACCGCAA